This 430-nucleotide long non-coding RNA is filed under the name Pan troglodytes (chimpanzee). RNAcentral describes it as "long non-coding RNA NONPTRT015436". The record is from RNAcentral. Lineage: Eukaryota; Metazoa; Chordata; Mammalia; Primates; Hominidae.
GAGGAGCUAGGGGCCUGCCCACGGGAGCGCAGGACCCAGGGAGCCGUGCAAGGAGGAGGGUCGGGCUGGUCUCAGCCCCUCCUCGCCCCCAGGUUCCCACUCCAUGAGGUAUUUCAGCACUGCCGUUUCCCGGCCGGGUCGCAGGGAGCCCCGGUACAUCGCAGUGGGCUAAGUGGACGACACGCAGUUCGUGCGGUUAGACAACGACGCGGCGAGUCCGAGGAUGGAGCCGCAGACGCCGUGGGUGGUGCAGGAGGGGCCGGAGUAUUGGGACGGGAGCACACGGAACAUCAAGGCCCACGCACAGACUGACAGAGUGAACCUGCGGAUGCUGCCUCACUACUACAACCAGAGCUAGGCCGACCCCCCGCUCCAAGACACAUAUGACCCACCAUUCCGUCUCUGACUAUAAGGCCACCCUGAGGUGCAG